Long non-coding RNA from Scophthalmus maximus (turbot), 1990 nucleotides. RefSeq lists it as uncharacterized. The record is from RefSeq and is a predicted model, not a curated record. The transcript has 4 exons. NCBI's taxonomy places the organism in Eukaryota, Metazoa, Chordata, Actinopteri, Pleuronectiformes, Scophthalmidae.
CCCUCUCGUCUCUUCUUCUCAUCGCCAUCUUUGUUUCCUCUCCAAGGCCUGGGACGUUUUUAAAAACGGACGUUGGUGAGAGGAUGUGGACGUUGUGCUGCUGGACCUGGUUCUGAAAAGCUUUUAAUCCAAAGUGGAUUCAAAUGUGGAGCAGCUUCAAGUCUGCGGGCGUCGGCCUGCAGCAGGUUCUGGUCUUUGACCCGGUUUUCGGGGGUCCCUCUGCUCCUCAUUGCCCUUUCCCGUGGCGGGGGCCCCUGCUGAGGGACGAGUCCCGGACCACGUGAGAGAAGCCAGGCGGCCUCCGGACCAGAGACGAGAUGACGAGCAGGCUCUGCAGGGCGGCGGCGGGGUCGUGGGAGCGCAGGCCUCUCUUGGGGACGGGGUGGAGGAGCGGCACGGCGGGACGGGACCGGGCGUCGGAGCAGGAGCUGCUCCAGUCGUCCUGUGGGACGAACUGAGAGCCGCCGACUGAGGGAGAAAAAGAAUCGGGGUUCUGUGUUCAGGGAGCAGGCAUGUGUUUACCGGGCCAGUGGAUCCGCUGGGCGCUGAUGGUCCUCCGUAGUUCCGCCCCGUGGUGCAGGCAGCUCGACUCGUUCAGGCUCCGCUGGUCGACCGUGGUCCGGAUCAACCGCUGCUGCUGCUGCUGAGUCGAGUGAUUACUGAGAAACUACCCAGCUGACGUCCAUGACACUUUGUGGAGGUGGUGGGACCUGACACCCAGAGGAAGAACCCAUUACAUUUUGGAGUGGAUCCCAAUAAAUGGGCAAAGGAUUUUUGAUUGAUCCAAUCAGGAUGGUGACCAAUCAGCUGGUCGUGUACCUGCCGUGAGAUCCGAGUGCAGAGGAGCUGCUGCUGCUGCUUCGUCCUGUGGGGAAACUGCUGCACCAGAGGAUCCAACUGGAAGCAAAGAAAAACAGUAAAGUGAGAAAAAACCUCAGUCCAUCUGAGGUCAGUCUUCCUGUUGAAGGAAAACUAUACAGGUUGUAAAAGUCUUCCUGUCGAUUGACCCUUGACCUGUAGGUCAGGACUCACCUUUGUCUCCGGUCGUCUCUGCUGGUGGCCGCCGCCCCGCGGGACCCCCCCUCCCUCUGUCCGGCCCUGCGGCAGCAGCAGCUGGCGGACCUGCUCCACUACCCCCAGCUCCUGCAGCAGCUUCUUCCUCUGGAGCAGAGCAUCCAGUCGCCGCUGCUCCUCCACCUCCUCCACCUCCUCCACCUCCUCCUCCUCCUCCUCUCCUUCCUCUUCCUCCUGCUUCUCCUCUCGGACUUCUGCCCCCGACUCACCGGACACACGAGGCUGUGGAGGAAAAACAGAGACGCAUUAGAUUCAAUCUGUUGUCAUAGCCUUACUGUACAUGUAACCACAUGUCUGCAUUUCACUUCACAUAUUAGCAGUUACUGUCACGGGAAAAAAAUCAUUAAUAAACACUGUUUGUGUUUUCCCGCUGUGGAAAAAAAACUAAAACAUAUUGGAAUUUGAAAUGAGAGGCGGCCAAUAAAAGUUAUCAGCAGGAAUAUGUAUAUAUACAUUUCCUCUUGACUACUCGGGGUCAGGCAGGAUAUGAGCCAUCCGUCACGCGACGGAAGCCGUUUGUGGCGCCCUCUGGUGGCUUCACGCGGACACUACGACUCACCGGCUGUGGGUCGCGGUCAGAGUUUGGGACGCCGGGGGGCGGUUGUGUCGACGCCCGUCGUGGUUUGAACCUCUCCCCCGCCGUCUCCCCCUGCAGGUCCCUCCUCCGACCGUCCUUCUGCUCCCGCUGCUCCUGCUUCAGACGGAGAUCCUGCAGCUGCUGCCUGAGCACACAAGCACACAGGAAAUCCCAAAUGAAAUCAUUUUAGAUAAUCCUUACAAAGUAUCCCAAAGUAGGUCACAUUUUAUUUAUCAUUCAUGAGCACAAAUCAAACAUUUGAUCAAUGGUUUAUAACACACACCGAUGUAUUCAUAAACAAAUACUUUGUAGUGUUUAACAAUGUACAGGAUGUUCGAU